CAUGCCGUAAACGUUGGGCGCUAGGUGUGGGGCUCAUUCCACGAGCUCCGUGCCGCAGCUAACGCAUUAAGCGCCCCGCCUGGGGAGUACGGCCGCAAGGCUAAAACUCAAAGGAAUUGA
Molecule: ribosomal RNA, 120 nt
Filed under: uncultured bacterium
Lineage: Bacteria
Description: partial 16S ribosomal RNA
Rfam family: Bacterial small subunit ribosomal RNA
Source: RNAcentral